AGUAAAAGUCGUAACAAGGUCUCCGUUGGUGAACCAGCGGAGGGAUCAUUACUGAGUUUACGCUCUAUAACCCUUUGUGAACAUACCUAUAACUGUUGCUUCGGCGGGUAGGGUCUCCGCGACCCUCCCGGCCUCCCGCCUCCGGGCGGGUCGGCGCCCGCCGGAGGAUAACCAAACUCUGAUUUAACGACGUUUCUUCUGAGUGGUACAAGCAAAUAAUCAAAACUUUUAACAACGGAUCUCUUGGUUCUGGCAUCGAUGAAGAACGCAGCGAAAUGCGAUAAGUAAUGUGAAUUGCAGAAUUCAGUGAAUCAUCGAAUCUUUGAACGCACAUUGCGCCCGCCAGCAUUCUGGCGGGCAUGCCUGUUCGAGCGUCAUUUCAACCCUCAAGCUCUGCUUGGUGUUGGGGCCCUACAGCUGAUGUAGGCCCUCAAAGGUAGUGGCGGACCCUCCCGGAGCCUCCUUUGCGUAGUAACUUUACGUCUCGCACUGGGAUCCGGAGGGACUCUUGCCGUAAAACCCCCCAAUUUUCCAAAGGUUGACCUCGGAUCAGGUAGGAAUACCCGCUGAACUUAAGCAUAUCA
Molecule: ribosomal RNA, 584 nt
Filed under: Colletotrichum sp. ETHCTR159
Lineage: Eukaryota; Fungi; Ascomycota; Sordariomycetes; Glomerellales; Glomerellaceae
Description: eukaryotic LSU rRNA
Rfam family: 5.8S ribosomal RNA (bases 224-377)
Source: RNAcentral